UACACUUGUGUUUCUAGCUCCAAUUAGAAAAGUGACAUUUUCAAAGCCUAUUUGCUACUAAAAAUUUAAAAGCACACAUGAGCUUUACCAUAACGAACACAUAUCAUUUUCUGAUAAAAUAGGGUUACAACUGUGCUUGUUACAUUUGAGGAUGAGCUCCUGUAACAAAAAGGACCUAAAAUACAGUGGCUUAACAAAUACAGAAAUGAGUGUCUUUCUUGUGUAACAGAGCUGAAGUAAAUAGCUCAGAUGGGUGGGACAGAUCAGCUAUAUGCAGUCAUGCAGAGAUAGAUUCCUGCAACCUAAUUGCUCCCUUAUCCUCUGGGAUACAAAUGAAGCUGGACCCCUGCCACAUGCAGAAAAUGUCUUAAUGAGUUUUGCUGAAUGUUUUAAUUUCCAGACCCAGACACAUCACUUCUACUUACAUUCUGUUAACCAGAACUUGUCCGUCUAACUGCUAGAGAGGCUGAGAAAUAUGACCUAGUUCAGAGGUUUCGACUCAAUCACAACUUUAUUUUCAUGGGUAAAGGGAAGAACAGAUUUUGGUGGAACUCAGUCUCAUUUACUACUGCCCCGAAUAUCAUAGUAAUAUUCAAAUAACUGAACUAAAUAUAAAAGAUGGCAUUUCAUAAAGGCAAAUACAGGAGAAGAUAGAAAUUGACAUAUUCAAAGGCAAUGUUUUUAUAUAUGAGCUUUAAAUUACAUAGAAAUUUUCUUCCAGUAAUAUUUUUUAAAGUGUUUACAACUAUUUGGUCCAUCCUAGCUCAUCCGAAGUAACUAAGCGUUUCUGUGGAAGUAUUCUGUGGAAGUAUUCUGUAAAUAUUGCAAUGACUUAAAACAAAGUUCCCAAGAUACCUCAAAUUAUCAUAUCUCCUUCGGUUUGUAGCAGUUUCAUUUCAUUACUUCAAUCCUGGGCCACUUUUUAAAGGGCUAACAAAAACAAAUUUGUAACUACUUAACAUUUUGAAAAUAUACACAGGUAAACCUAAGAAGAAUUUAAUGUCUAGAAAUAAAAUUCACCAAAUGUAUGCUCUACAGCAGGGGAAAUCAAUUCUAAAGCUGGGCCCGGGAUAGAGAAUAGAGGAGGCCAAAACCCUUUCUAGUUAGACUUAAGUCUGUACUAAAAGACAUGCCUAACUCCUGUCUUGCUGGCACAAUGAACCCAUUUAACUAAAGGCAUACAAAAAAGCCAUUAUUGUUUUCUGGAAGAUGAUAAGACUAACAGAAGACUAUAAUGCCUUUUUUGGCACUGAGAGAUGAAGUCAGAGAACUUUGGCAACUCAAAGGGAGCAAUAAAAUGGCCACAUGAAAAGGACACUUUGGAAAUACAGUAAUGACAGAAAUAUAAGAUGCAUAAAUAUGAUCAAGAUUUACUGCUAGAGAUGUUACCAUAGCUUCUGAGGUGCUGUCACUCUCUACCACACCUGGCAGCAGGAUGUUAGAUGAGAUGGGAACCCACAAUUAAAUACCAAUAAAGGUAAUUUCAGGUCUUCAGCCUGUGGCCCACUUCAUUCUGACCUCAUAAAGAAGGUAGUCUGUGGAAUGUAUGCAUGAGCCAAGGACUGUGUAAAACGUAAUGCAAUGACUAAGAACUCAACACAAAAACAGAGAGGAGCAGAUAGUUUACGACUAACUUUACCAGAUGGCUUCCUUAAGCACAGUCAUAAAUAAUAAGUGAAUGUCACAUAAAAAGAAUCAAAAGAAGAGAAUGGAUGGACAGCUUCUUUACCAUAUGCCUUUUGCAAGACCUCUGAUGGAUUUAAAGAAAUUCUGUUGGUUUUUUGGAGAAGUUGUUCAUACCUCAAUCCUGUGCCCUUCUUAGAUUACACUGAUCAGUCUCUUCUCUGCUCAUAAACACCCCACAUGCCCAUGUUUGUUAACUAAACAUGUAAUUUACUUCUGUUUUUAGCUUGGUACUUUUUUUUUUUUUCAUUUCUGAAUGUGUGUCUCUACAACUCCCUUUCACUUAUCAUUGUUCUGCUUUCAGUUGAGUCACUCAGUCAUCACUAAGGACUCAUUAGCUGGUUAAUUCGAAGCACUAUGUAGAAAGAAAACUGUGCCCCUGCCAACUGCCUGCUGAAGGACCUGGGUUUUCAUUUUCUUGCCAUUUCAGUCCCAAUCUUUCUUUAGGAGACUGAUGAUAAGGUUCAGAGCGGACUGUUUGUUUGAUGGCUUUCUAAUAUGGAGACAGUUCCAAAACAGCCGGGAUUAAAUUGGCUAACUUCAUGCACAUGUGUGACCCAACCCAAAUUACAGUCCAGGUGGCUGGUGGUGAAAGCCAACUCAUUAACCUACAGUGACACCUGUUCAUCUGACACACCUUUCCCGAACUCAAAAGGUCUAUUUCUUUUGAAAUAUUUGUGGCUCUGAAACUAAAGGUCAUUCAAUUCUUGUCUUUAACUUCACAUGAUGGUUAAAACAGACACAAAAUAAUAGAAUCACCUUUAAAGACAGAGAAGAAACAUGCAAAGGAGUGUCCUUUCUGUCAGGAUAGAAAGAAAAUAAAAUGUGCCUAGAGGAUCCUGAAAGAAAAAUCGUCAUCCAAUUUUAAAUGAGAGUUUUAUUCAAAUAUCCAUAUGACAGUUUCUAUGGCACAUCUUCAAUUUGUUAAUAGUAACCAAAUUGAACAUAUUGCCUUAUUCUAUUAUGUGUAUGCCCUCUUGGCUGUCAAACUCUGGAGAACUCAAAACAAGUGUGCAAGCAAAACUGAAAGAGGUUAAUAUCACAAGAGAACCUGCCACUUAUAAAGGUCUUCUGAGUGUUGAUUCCCAGAGACAUGUUAAUGAUCAAUUUAAUAAAAAUAAUUUAGUAAUUUUUUGCCUGACACUUUAGAUUUAUUUUUUUAAUUAAAAUAACAUAUAACAAAGCAGACAAGGAUUUUGUCAUUUUGAGAUACAGUUAGUAACUUUGGCUUUGGUUUUCCUUCUGGUUCUGCAGUGCUUUUUUGCAGUGUUUACUUACCUGUGGUCUCAUGUCUUUUCCCAUCAAUUCAUUGAAAUUGCUGUCAUCAUGUUUGUUAAUGACUUCUUUGUUAUGAAAUUCCAGUGACAUUUCUCAUUUUUUAACCUAUUUGACCUCUUAUUUACCCAGCCAAAAAAAUAUAUACCAAAUAGCUACUAAGUGCCAGGCACUGCAUUUAGAUGACAGGAAUAAAUGCUUAAGUAGACAUAUAAAGUCCCUACAAUUGUGGCAUUUACAGUGGAAUAGAAGAGCUCAAUAUUAAACAGUUACAUAAACAAUUAUUCAACUACAAUAUGAUUAAUGAUACAAAGAACAAAUACAGUGUGCAAUAAGAGCGUAUAAAUGAAAAAUACAAUUUAGUUGGAUAUGUCCCCUGAGAAAAAGACAACUAACCUUAAUAUUAAAACUUAUUUACUCAAAAAUAAGUGUGCACAACUGUAUAGUUAACUUAUCUUCAAUUCAGUCAAUCGUCAAUCUAAAGCAUCAACUAAACAAUGUAUUCACAGAUAUACCACACAAUGACAGUAUAAUUGUGUAAUUGACAGACAAUAUAAAUUAAUAUUUAUAAUGAUAAUCUUGGAUGAGAAAAGAGAGUCUACAGGACCUUCUAGAUCAUCACAGUUAAAUUAUACUUGGCUAAUAUAGUUUUAAUAUUUAGUACAAUUUCAUGUUUGAAACUUCUGAAAAACUUUUCUUCACAUGUAGACCAUAUGAUACUAAUAUUAUAGUAGACCGUCCUAUUUACAAUCAAAUUAUACAACAAUAUACUAAAUUAUCAUAUCAGUUUUUUGUUUCUUUAAUAAUUGCUAAUAUAUGUGUAUAGUUGUAAACAUACCUGUAUAUGUGUAUGUGAUAUGUAUAUAUAUCAACUGUAUAGUUAAAACACCACAUGUGUAGAAGAGACCCUCUGACCAGCAUUUAAGCUUAGCCAUGAGAAUGGAAUUUGGAAGUUGAAGAAUGUGACCUGGAGGAAAGAAGAAAAUGAUUACAGAGGGGCAUUUGAGAAUGAGAGGAUAGAGAAGAGAGACAGAGGUUGAGGAAAUGAGAUAUCAGAGUCCCCUCACUGCCCUCCCCAUUAACACACUCAAGGCUCAGCUAGUGAGGGGAGAGUAUCUUUGGGAUACAGGACAAAAUAUAGAAUUUGAAGAACCAGGAAGCUUUUGUCUUAUUCUAAAAGGAGAUAACUUGCAGGCUGUCUCCGGAUCAAUUGAGUGGUAGAUCCAUAUUACAAAUAAACAUGAUAGCAGAGUGUGAUUAGGCAGAAGGAGGUGUUGAGAUGCACCUUCCUAGAACAUUCUUGAUUUCUGUGUAAUGUAGAAAUGAGCAGUUAUUGUAGUGGGAACGAGCAACUCCACAGUAAAGGCAUUAGAUUUUGCCAUCUGGGCAGUGGAUGACACAGAUAUCAGUGUGUGGCUGGGAUCUGAAGCCUGUUCAGGGUCAACAUGAGCAUAAGUCAUCCAGAAAGGCUGAUGAAGUCAGCAAAGGUCAGCCAGACAAAGAGCACUGUCAAGGCCAUCAUAUGGAUCUAAGCAUCCCUUUUCCCACCUCCCUAAAGAGCACCAAGAAAGACACCAACAUCCAUUGCCAAUUUCCUUCUCCUUGCCAGUAGGGAGGCUGAAAAAAAACAGAUACUCUCUUUCUAUUAAUAUAUCUUCCUUAUAGAGUAGGAUGGAUAUUUGGCUAAGUAUUGGUCAAUAAGAUAAUGUGGAAUUUGCUGGGUGGCGGGCAGGGGUCCUAUGUGUAAUAAUUUUGUGUCUUGAUAAGGUAUAUGGCUGGGACCAUCCCUGACACUCUUUUUCCUCGAAUGUGAACUCAUGAGUGAAGCAUACAUCCCUUGUCCAUGGAGCAAGAAAGAUGAGGAUGAAAAGACUAUGUUAAGGAUGUGAUGUGAAAAGCAGGAAGAACUUCUUAUUCAUGUUAUCACUGAGCAGAGGCCUCUCCAGAUUGUGAUGCACUGGGAUCAAGCCACCAUGAACAUGUCCUCAGGUCUCCAGUCUUCUGCCAUUGCAUGGUAAAUGGAGCUUGUCAAACAUGGAGCAGAGCUGAACUUUCUGAAUUGCACAGGACUGUUCAGAGUGCUUGGAAUGAAACCCACCCA
Molecule: long non-coding RNA, 5059 nt
Organism: Chlorocebus sabaeus (green monkey)
Lineage: Eukaryota; Metazoa; Chordata; Mammalia; Primates; Cercopithecidae
Source: RefSeq, a predicted model, not a curated record